UUGCUCGUAGCGCAGCGGCGUCGUCGCGCGCUCGGCGGCGCGCGCGGCGGCAUGUGCGCGCGGCUGCGCGAUGAUCAUGUCGCUGUCGAGCAGGC
RNAcentral lists this transfer RNA (95 nucleotides) under Burkholderia mallei. RNAcentral's name for it is "tRNA-???(cggc)". The record is from RNAcentral. Lineage: Bacteria; Pseudomonadati; Pseudomonadota; Betaproteobacteria; Burkholderiales; Burkholderiaceae.